GAUGAACGCUGGCGGCGUGCCUAAUACAUGCAAGUCGAGCGAACAGAUGAGGAGCUUGCUCCUCUGACGUUAGCGGCGGACGGGUGAGUAACACGUGGAUAACCUACCUAUAAGACUGGGAUAACUUCGGGAAACCGGAGCUAAUACCGGAUAAUAUAUUGAACCGCAUGGUUCAAUAGUGAAAGACGGUUUUGCUGUCACUUAUAGAUGGAUCCGCGCCGCAUUAGCUAGUUGGUAAGGUAACGGCUUACCAAGGCGACGAUGCGUAGCCGACCUGAGAGGGUGAUCGGCCACACUGGAACUGAGACACGGUCCAGACUCCUACGGGAGGCAGCAGUAGGGAAUCUUCCGCAGAGGGCGAAAGCCUGACGGAGCAACGCCGCGUGAGUGAUGAAGGUCUUCGGAUCGUAAAACUCUGUUAUUAGGGAAGAACAAAUGUGUAAGUAACUAUGCACGUCUUGACGGUACCUAAUCAGAAAGCCACGGCUAACUACGUG
RNAcentral lists this ribosomal RNA (497 nucleotides) under uncultured bacterium. RNAcentral's name for it is "partial 16S ribosomal RNA". It matches the Rfam family "Bacterial small subunit ribosomal RNA", at positions 28 to 507 of the family's 1533-position model. The record is from RNAcentral.